This 605-nucleotide long non-coding RNA is filed under the name Pan troglodytes (chimpanzee). RNAcentral describes it as "long non-coding RNA NONPTRT010567". Lineage: Eukaryota; Metazoa; Chordata; Mammalia; Primates; Hominidae. The record is from RNAcentral.
CUGGGCGCGGCUUCUCCCGCGCCGGGCACCCCCAGCUCGCAGUGUGCCCAACGUGGGGGCUGUAGUCGCCGCCAGAGUGGGCGCCAGGCCCCCGGCUUUGCUUUUGCGGCUACAUUUCCCCCUUUCCGGGAAUCUGCUGCUCACCCCGCAGAAAGGAUAUGGGACCGGCGUGGGAGGGAUGCCUCCAAGUUGUGAGAAAAUCAAGCAUCUACAAGGAAAGGCCACAUGUCGGCAUUCCAGCCACAGCCUCAGCUGAGGUCAGAGCUAACAGCCAGCAUCAACCACUAACCACACAAGUGAAGGAGACUUCGAAGCUUCAAACUGCCCCAGCUAAUGCCAAGUGCAGCAGAGAUGAGUUGUCCCUGCCGAAAUUGCAGACUCAUGAGCAAAAUAAAUGUAGUUGUUUUAAGACACUAAGUUUGAGAAUGUUUUGUUACACAGCAUGAGAUAACUGGAACACCAUGAGGUAGAUAAAUUAUAACCUGGUGAUUCCAGGCACCCCGAUCUCAUUUGGGGAUUUUUUCCCUAGUUACUUAAAGUAACACACAUAUACUUAUUCAAUAAAUGUUUAUUGAAUGCUCACAAAAUAUCUGGGAGCAUUCUGG